RNAcentral lists this unclassified non-coding RNA (364 nucleotides) under uncultured bacterium. RNAcentral describes it as "contains 16S-23S intergenic spacer region". The record is from RNAcentral.
UCCCGGUUGGCCCGGGCGGUCUCGUCUGAAAAAUCCAACAGACGACAAGGGUUGCGCUCGUUGCGGGACUUAACCCAACAUCUCACGACACGAGCUGACGACGGCCAUGCAUCACCUGUCACCUGGUUCCCGAAGGCACAGUCCUGUUUCCAGGACCUUCCAGGGAUGUCAAGCCUUGGUAAGGUUCUUCGCGUAGCUUCGAAUUAAACCACAUGCUCCACCGCUUGUGCGGAGCCCCGUCAAUUCCUUUGAGUUUUAAGCUUGCGCUCGUACUCCCCAGGCGGGAUGCUUAUCGCGUUAGCUUCUCAGCCCAAGGGGUCGAUACCUCGAACUAAUAGCAUCCAUCGUUUACGGCGUGGACUAC